This 473-nucleotide ribosomal RNA is filed under the name uncultured bacterium. Its description in RNAcentral is "bacterial SSU rRNA". It matches the Rfam family "Bacterial small subunit ribosomal RNA", at positions 355 to 825 of the family's 1533-position model. The record is from RNAcentral.
UGGGGAAUAUUGCGCAAUGGGGGAAACCCUGACGCAGCGACGCCGCGUGGGUGAUGAAGGCCUUCGGGUCGUAAAGCCCUGUCGGGAGGGAAGAAAAAAUCCGGACCUAAUACGUUCGGGAAUUGACGGUACCUCCUAAGGAAGCACCGGCUAACUCCGUGCCAGCAGCCGCGGUAAUACGGAGGGUGCUAGCGUUGUUCGGAAUCACUGGGCGUAAAGGGCGUGUAGGCGGUUUGUUAAGUCUGAUGUGAAAUCCCCUCGCUCAACGAGGGAACUGCGUCGGAUACUGGCAGACUUGAGUACCGGAGAGGAAGGUGGAAUUCCCGGUGUAGCGGUGAAAUGCGUAGAUAUCAAGAGGAACACCUGAGGUGAAGACGGGUUGCUGGGCUGACACUGACGCUGAGGCGCGAAAGCCAGGGGAGCAAACGGGAUUAGAUACCCCGGUAGUCCCUGAGCGGGCUGGCAAGGCGCAU